UCCUAGGUAUCUUAUGCUUUGGGGUGCAAUUGUAAAUGGGAUUGACUCCUUAAUUUCUCUUCUUCAGUCUCAUUGUUAGUGUAGAGAAAUGCCACUGACUUCUGGGCAUUGAUUUUGUAUCCUGCCAUGCAACCGAAUGGCUGUAUGGAGUUCCAGCAAUCUUGGGGUGGAGACUUUUGGGUUUUCUAUGUAGAGUAUCAUGUCAUCGGCGAAGAGGAGAGUUUGACUUCUUCUUUGCAAUUUGAAUGUCUUUAAAGUCUUUUGUUGUCUGAUUGCUGAGGCUAGGACUUCCUACUAUGUUGAACAGCAGUAGUGAGAGUGGACAUCCCUGUCUUGUUCCCAUCUUAGGGAAAGGCUCCAGUGCUUCCCCUUGAGAAUGAUAUUUGCUGUGGGCUUUUCAUAGAUGGCUUUUUAAGAUGUCGAGCGAUGUCCCUCUAUCCUUACACCGGAGUUGUUGAUCAGGAAUGGAUGCUGUAUUGUCAAAUGCUUUCUCUGCAUCCAAUGAGAGGAUAAUAUGGAUCUUGGUUUUUCUCUUGCUGAUACGAUGAAUCACAUGAUGUGUUUUUACGGGUGUUGAACCAGCCUUGUGUCCCAGGAUAAAAUCCUACUUGGUCAUGGUGAUAAUUUUUUUAAUGCACUGUUGGAUCCUAUUGGCCAGUAUCCUUGUUGAAGAAUUUUUGCAUCCAUUUCAUUAGGGAUAUUGGUCGUAAUCCUCCUUUUUGCUGGGGUCUUUGUCUGGUUUUGGAAUGAAGGUGAUGCUGGCCUCAAGAAAUUUGGAAGUACUCCAUCUCGUUCUAUCUUUCCAAACAGCUUUAGGAGGAUAGGUAUGGUUUCUUCUUUAAACAUUUGAUAGAAUUCCCCUGGGAAGCCAUCUGGCCCUGGACUCUUGUGUCUUGGGAGGUUUUUUGAUGACUGUCUUCAAUUCCCUCCCUGGUUUCUUGGCCUGUUCAGGUUUUUCUAUGUCUUCCUGUUCCAGUUUGGGUAGUUUGUGGCUUUCCAGGAAAGCGCCAUUUCUUCUAGAAUGGCCUAAUUUAUUGGCGUAAGCUGUUCAUAAUAUGUUUUUAAAAUCGUUUGUAUUUUCCUUGGGUUGGUAGUGAUCUCUCCUUUCUCAUUCAUGAUUUUAUUAAUUUGAGUCUUCUCCUCUCUCCUCUUUUUUUUAAUAAGACUGGCUAAUGGUUUAUCUAUCUUAUUAAUUCUUUCAAAGAACCAACUCCUGUUUUGUUGAUCUGU
RNAcentral lists this long non-coding RNA (1230 nucleotides) under Canis lupus familiaris (dog). RNAcentral describes it as "lncRNA (ENSCAFG00000051586.1)". The record is from RNAcentral. Lineage: Eukaryota; Metazoa; Chordata; Mammalia; Carnivora; Canidae.